CCUACGGGUGGCAGCAGUGAGGAAUAUUGGUCAAUGGGCGCGAGCCUGAACCAGCCAAGUAGCGUGAAGGAUGACUGCCCUACGGGUUGUAAACCUCUUUUGCCGGGGAGUAACGGGCGCCACGUGUGGCGCCACUGAGAGUACCUGGAGAAAAAGCAUCGGCUAACUCCGUGCCAGCAGCCGCGGUAAUACGGAGGAUGCGAGCGUUAUCCGGAUUUAUUGGGUGUAAAGGGUGCGUAGACGGAGAAGCAAGUUAGUUGUGAAAUCCCUCGGCUUAACUGAGGAACUGCAACUAAAACUACUUGCCUUGAGUACAGGAGAGGAAGGUGGAAUUCCUGGUGUAGCGGUGAAAUGCGUAGAUAUUAGGAGGAACACCAGUGGCGAAGGCGGAUUGCUGGACAGUAACUGACGCUGAGGCGCGAAAGCGUGGGGAGCAAACAGGAUUAGAUACCCCGGUAGUC
Molecule: ribosomal RNA, 461 nt
Filed under: uncultured bacterium
Lineage: Bacteria
Description: partial 16S ribosomal RNA
Rfam family: Bacterial small subunit ribosomal RNA
Source: RNAcentral